UACGAAGGGGGCUAGCGUUGCUCGGAAUCACUGGGCGUAAAGCGCACGUAGGCGGAUUGCUAAGUCAGGGGUGAAAUCCCGGAGCUCAACUCCGGAACUGCCUUUGAUACUGGCGAUCUUGAGUCCGGGAGAGGUGAGUGGAACUGCGAGUGUAGGGGUGAAAUUCGUAGAUAUUCGCAAGAACACCAGUGGCGAAGGCGGCUCACUGGCCCGGUACUGACGCUGAGGUGCGAAAGCGUGGGGAGCAAACAGG
This 253-nucleotide ribosomal RNA is filed under the name uncultured bacterium. RNAcentral's name for it is "partial 16S ribosomal RNA". It matches the Rfam family "Bacterial small subunit ribosomal RNA", at positions 524 to 776 of the family's 1533-position model. The record is from RNAcentral.